GAUGAACGCUGGCGGCGUGCCUAAUACAUGCAAGUCGAGCGAACAGACGAGGAGCUUGCUCCUCUGACGUUAGCGGCGGACGGGUGAGUAGCACGUGGAUAACCUACCUAUAAGACUGGGAUAACUUCGGGAAACCGGAGCUAAUACCGGAUAAUAUAUUGAACCGCAUGGUUCAAUAGUGAAAGACGGUUUUGCUGUCACUUAUAGAUGGAUCCGCGCCGCAUUAGCUAGUUGGUAAGGUAACGGCUUACCAAGGCAACGAUGCGUAGCCGACCUGAGAGGGUGAUCGGCCACACUGGAACUGAGACACGGUCCAGACUCCUACGGGAGGCAGCAGUAGGGAAUCUUCCGCAAUGGGCGAAAGCUUGACGGAGCAACGCCGCGUGAGUGAUGAAGGUCUUCGGAUCGUAAAACUCUGUUAUUAGGGAAGAACAAUUGUGUAAGUAACUAUGCACGUCUUGACGGUACCUAAUCAGAAAGCCACGGCUAACUACGUG
RNAcentral lists this ribosomal RNA (497 nucleotides) under uncultured bacterium. RNAcentral describes it as "partial 16S ribosomal RNA". It matches the Rfam family "Bacterial small subunit ribosomal RNA", at positions 28 to 507 of the family's 1533-position model. The record is from RNAcentral.